GGCCUCGUGGCGCAAUGGUAGCGCGUAGCUUUCCGGUUCACUCUAGUACUAGCUGAGGUUUCAGGUUCGAGUCCUGACGGGGUCG
Molecule: transfer RNA, 85 nt
Filed under: Coniochaeta ligniaria NRRL 30616
Lineage: Eukaryota; Fungi; Ascomycota; Sordariomycetes; Coniochaetales; Coniochaetaceae
Rfam family: tRNA
About the family: Transfer RNA (tRNA) molecules are approximately 80 nucleotides in length.
Source: Rfam by way of RNAcentral